Molecule: transfer RNA, 85 nt
Filed under: Planctomycetaceae bacterium
Lineage: Bacteria; Pseudomonadati; Planctomycetota; Planctomycetia; Planctomycetales; Planctomycetaceae
Also listed under: 3 other names
Description: tRNA-Leu
Rfam family: tRNA
About the family: Transfer RNA (tRNA) molecules are approximately 80 nucleotides in length. Their secondary structure includes four short double-helical elements and three loops (D, anti-codon, and T loops).
Source: RNAcentral
GCGGGUGUGGCGGAACUGGCAGACGCGCAUGGUUGAGGGCCAUGUGGGAGAUAAUCCCGUGGAAGUUCGAAUCUUCUCACCCGCA